This 619-nucleotide ribosomal RNA is filed under the name uncultured soil bacterium. RNAcentral's name for it is "bacterial SSU rRNA". It matches the Rfam family "Bacterial small subunit ribosomal RNA", at positions 35 to 670 of the family's 1533-position model. The record is from RNAcentral.
GCUGGCGGCGUGCCUAACACAUGCAAGUCGAACGAGAAAGUGGAGCAAUCCAUGAGUAAAGUGGCGACCGGGUGAGUAACACGUGACUAACCUACCUUCGAGUGGGGGAUAACCUCGGGAAACCGGGGCUAAUACCGCAUAACAUCUUUGAAGUGGAAAUUUCGGAGAUCAAAGGAGCAAUUCGCUGGAAGAGGGGGUCGCGGCUGAUUAGCUAGUUGGCGGGGUAACGGCCCACCAAGGCUUAGAUCGGUAGCCGGCCUGAGAGGGCGCACGGCCACACUGGAACUGAAACACGGUCCAGACUCCUACGGGAGGCAGCAGUGGGGAAUUUUGCGCAAUGGGGGAAACCCUGACGCAGCAACGCCGCGUGGAGGAUGAAGUCCCUUGGGACGUAAACUCCUUUCGACCCGGACGAUAAUGACGGUACGGGUGGAAGAAGCCCCGGCUAACUUCGUGCCAGCAGCCGCGGUAAUACGAGGGGGGCAAGCGUUGUUCGGAAUUAUUGGGCGUAAAGGGCGCGUAGGCGGUGCGGUAAGUCACCUGUGAAGCCUCUAGGCUCAACCUAGAGCCUGCAGGCGAAACUGCCGUGCUUGAGGGUGGGAGAGGUGCGUGGAAUUCC